Molecule: ribosomal RNA, 486 nt
Filed under: uncultured Parachlamydia sp.
Lineage: Bacteria; Pseudomonadati; Chlamydiota; Chlamydiia; Parachlamydiales; Parachlamydiaceae
Description: bacterial SSU rRNA
Rfam family: Bacterial small subunit ribosomal RNA
Source: RNAcentral
AAACUUAAAGGAAUUGACGGGGACCCGCACAAGCAGUGGAGCAUGUGGUUUAAUUCGAUGCAACGCGAAGAACCUUACCCAGGCUUGACAUGCAGAUGACCGCUCUAGAAAUAGAGUUUUCCUUCGGGACAUUUGCACAGGUGCUGCAUGGCUGUCGUCAGCUCGUGCCGUGAGGUGUUGGGUUAAGUCCCGCAACGAGCGCAACCCUUAUCAUUAGUUGCCAACAGGUGAAGCUGGGAACUCUAAUGAGACUGCCUGGGUUAACCAGGAGGAAGGUGAGGAUGACGUCAAGUCCGCAUGGCCCUUAUGUCUGGGGCUACACACGUGCUACAAUGGUCGGUACAGAAGGCAGCGAAACCGCGAGGUGAAGCAAAUCCAACAAAGCCGAUCUCAGUUCAGAUUGUAGUCUGCAACUCGACUACAUGAAGACGGAAUUGCUAGUAAUGGCGAGUCAGCAACAUCGCCGUGAAUACGUUCCCGGGUCUU